RNAcentral lists this ribosomal RNA (472 nucleotides) under uncultured Magnetococcus sp. RNAcentral's name for it is "bacterial SSU rRNA". It matches the Rfam family "Bacterial small subunit ribosomal RNA", at positions 79 to 587 of the family's 1533-position model. The record is from RNAcentral. Lineage: Bacteria; Pseudomonadati; Pseudomonadota; Magnetococcia; Magnetococcales; Magnetococcaceae.
UUCGGGCGCCGGCGAGUGGCGAACGGGUGAGUAACACGUGGAGACCUAUCCAUUGGUGGGGGACGACAGCUGGAAACGGCUGCUAAUACCGCAUAAUCCCUACGGGGGAAAGAUUUAUCGCCAUAGGAGGGUUCCGCGUCGGAUUAGCUAGUUGGUGGGGUAACGGCCUACCAAGGCAACGAUCCGUAGCUGGUCUUAGAGGAUGAUCAGCCACACUGGGACUGAGACACGGCCCAGACUCCUACGGGAGGCAGCAGUGGGGAAUAUUGCGCAAUGGAGGAAACUCUGACGCAGCGAUGCCGCGUGGGUGAAGAAGGCCUUAGGGUUGUAAAGCCCUUUCAGUGGGAACGAUGGUGACGGUACCCACAGAAGAAGCCCCGGCUAACUCCGUGCCAGCAGCCGCGGUAAUACGGAGGGGGCGAGCGUUGUUCGGAAUUAUUGGGCGUAAAGCGCGCGUAGGCGGUUUAUUAAG